This 1230-nucleotide long non-coding RNA is filed under the name Gallus gallus (chicken). Its description in RNAcentral is "lncRNA (ENSGALG00010019711.1)". Lineage: Eukaryota; Metazoa; Chordata; Aves; Galliformes; Phasianidae. The record is from RNAcentral.
UUUUUUUUUUAAUCAAAUGUGCCUUUUUGAAACCAAAAUCUGCUGUUCCUCAUCAAAUAAAACAGUGUCAACUUUUCUGCAAAGCAGAUCUUUGUUCAAGCACAGAAAGAGGUACAAUUCAUCCUGCUGUAUAUUUUAUAUGUGCAUAUAUACUACAGGCUGAGUUUAAUAUGUUAAGUUGACAGAAAGUACCUAAGGAGAUGAUAUUUUUCCUCAAAAUAAAACUUUUUUUUUUUUUUUUUUUUUUUAAUAUUCUUGUUCCUCUUCUCCUGUUUGUCAGUUGAAGAACUACAAAACUACUGUCUACCCUAUCCCAACUGCUCACAUUUCCUCUUUGUGCCAGAAUUUUCUUCAGGAACAGUUCAAACAACAUCCAAAGCUCCUCUGUGUGGCCCUUCAGCUCCUUGUCUUAUAGGAUAUGUCUUCUUUGUCCCUGCUGCUCGGAUCUCACCCAGUGGCCUGUGGCAGACUCCUCCUAAACCUGGAAAAUUCUCACAGGUUUCUUCAAACACAUUUAGGAAGAAAAUGCAACUGAAAAUGGCAAAUACAAAUCCAGGUACAGGAAUGAGAGGCGAAACUGAAAUUCAUGGAUUAUUAAGUCCUGAAGAUGGCAGCAGAGGGACAAUCUGACAUGGAAGUGCAAUGAAGAAAAGGUGUGGAACUGAAUUCCUCCAUGCAGAGUAAAUGACAUCCAUUGACAUUAACUGGCACUUGCUGAAUGUUUAUGGAGACCAAACAGUGGAUAUGAGAACAGAGAGAAACCGUGUUCUCCAGCUGAAAAUUUGCUCUAUCAAAUAGUUUUACUGUGUUCUUCGUAUCUGUUGUAGUUUCCAUGGAAGUAAAGAGAAGCCAUUAUUUUCAGAAAAACCUACAUAAAUUAAAACAAAAAAUUCUCUAAACAAUAAAAUGUUGUUCAUGCAGAAAUACCAUGUCUGCUAAAACAUGUAAAAAUCCUUAUUCUAGAUGGUGGCAACAACUUAGAUAAACAGAAAUGGAGGCAAGAUUUCUGUUUUCAGAAGUGACUACUGAUCUUGGAUGGUCAGUGCAAGACAAGUUGUGCAACCUCAGCUUUUCAAAGUUCUGAAAACUAAAAAGUUUCUCUGAUCAAGCUUAUUCUCUAUUCUGUUGCUGAAAAUGAAUCCUAAGAGUUUUACUAACAUUCACUAACAGACUUGGUCAAGGAGUUAUGAAAUCCCAUUUUACAGUACAGUUAGGUCUUUCUGAACCCAU